Molecule: ribosomal RNA, 429 nt
Filed under: uncultured prokaryote
Also listed under: 1 other name
Description: bacterial SSU rRNA
Rfam family: Bacterial small subunit ribosomal RNA
Source: RNAcentral
UAGGGAAUCUUCCGCAAUGGACGAAAGUCUGACGGAGCAACGCCGCGUGAGUGAUGAAGGUUUUCGGAUCGUAAAACUCUGUUGUUAGGGAAGAACAAGUACGAGAGUAACUGCUCGUACCUUGACGGUACCUAACCAGAAAGCCACGGCUAACUACGUGCCAGCAGCCGCGGUAAUACGUAGGUGGCAAGCGUUGUCCGGAAUUAUUGGGCGUAAAGCGCGCGCAGGCGGUCUUUUAAGUCUGAUGUGAAAGCCCCCGGCUCAACCGGGGAGGGUCAUUGGAAACUGGGAAACUUGAGUGCAGAAGAGGAGAGUGGAAUUCCAUGUGUAGCGGUGAAAUGCGUAGAUAUAUGGAGGAACACCAGUGGCGAAGGCGGCUCUCUGGUCUGUAACUGACGCUGAGGCUCGAAAGCGUGGGGAGCAAACAGG